ACUGACCUAUUCAAUGGCAACAUCAAGAACAAAAUGAUCUCAAAUAGCAUUGAGCAGUUAAAAAAAAACGAAAGAGAAAUAGACAUGGUAUAUUUCAGGAUGUUCAAGUGUAUACACAGUUUCAUGCCAUGGGGAAAUGAAAGCUUUAUUAAAAUUUUGAACCGAUAGCAACACUACAGGCAAAUGACAGAUCCUGCUUUGAUCACGUGUCGAAGUCAAUAAAUGGGGAAUCUUUGUUAGUGUACAUAUCGGUAAAAGAACUAUCUGUAGAUAUGUUUUUGAUCAUUUGUGACACAUUCAUUUCAUACCAAUCAACUUGUUUUAAAAAAAGUUUAAAAAAAUAUUUAAACAAUUAGAAGUAGUCAUUUCAUCUUAAAAAAUUCAGGGGAAAUAUUACCGUAAGGAUCAAACGUGAAAUUAAAUUGAAACGAGACAUAGACUCAAGAAACAUGUAUAAACUUCCAUUAUCAAUUUACAAGGCAAUAUGUAAAAACAUAAUCGCGUGCUUGAGUGAAGCCUCCGUACUACAAAAGACGAAGCGACAUUAAUAGAAGGGUCGGGAUAAAAGUUAAAUAGUACUGUCAACGUUUGUUGCACUUCGGUAGUAUUAGACAAUAUUAGAAAAAUUGUCUAAUUAUCUGGUUGUUCGUUUCAUUUAGAAAUGAAGUGUCCAAUGUCUAAUUUAAGUUGCUAAAUUUUACCUGUUUUAAACCUUCUACUUGUAUGCUUUAAAAUCUAUACUAUUAAACGAGAAAACCUCAUUUUGUGUGUCGCUUCUCUUCCUUCCACAAUAAAUUAAUCAUCAUGCCUAUUUGUUCUAUAGGUCCGGAUAUUGUUUCCGUCAUCAGACUGACUUUUAGUCAUAGAUAAGCCUUCCGGUUUUAAACAUGCACAAG
RNAcentral lists this long non-coding RNA (896 nucleotides) under Mytilus galloprovincialis (Mediterranean mussel). The record is from RNAcentral. Lineage: Eukaryota; Metazoa; Mollusca; Bivalvia; Mytilida; Mytilidae.